UCAAAAACAUGGUCUUUUGUUAAUAUAAAAGAUCUGACCUGCCCUAUGAUUUAUUUAAAUGGCUGCAGUAUUUUGACUGUACAAAGGUAGCAUAAUCAUUUGUCUUUUAAUUGAAGGCUGGUAUGAAUGGUUGGAUGAAAAAUAUACUUUCUUUAUUUUAUAUUAAAAAAUUAAUUUUUUAGUCAAAAAGCUAAGAUAUUUUUAAAGGACGAGAAGACCCUAUAGAACUUUAUUUUCUAUAAUAUAUAAAUUUUUUGGGUUUUUAUAGAAUUAUAUAUUAAUGUUAAUUUUGUUGGGGUGAUGGAAAAAAUUAUAUAACUUUUUCUAUUUUUUGCAUUUAUUUAUGUUUUUUUGAUCCUUUAUUAUGGAUAAUAAGAUUAAGUUACCUUAGGGAUAACAGCGUUAUUUUUUUGGAGAGUUCUUAUCGAUAAGAAAGUUUGCGACCUCGAUGUUGGAUUAAAAUAAGUAAUAGGAGUAGAAUAUUAUUUACUGGGUCUGUUCGACCCUUAAAUUUUUACAUGAUCUAUUUUCC
Molecule: ribosomal RNA, 532 nt
Filed under: Lygocorides rubricans
Lineage: Eukaryota; Metazoa; Arthropoda; Insecta; Hemiptera; Miridae
Description: partial small subunit ribosomal RNA
Rfam family: Bacterial large subunit ribosomal RNA
Source: RNAcentral